GUGAGGAAUAUUGCGCAAUGGAGGCAACUCUGACGCAGCCAUGCCGCGUGCAGGAAGAAGGCGCUACGCGUUGUAAACUGCUUUUAACCGGGAAGAAACCCCAGGACGUGUCCUGGGUUGACGGUACCGGAGGAAUAAGCACCGGCUAACUUCGUGCCAGCAGCCGCGGUAAUACGAAGGGUGCAAGCGUUAUCCGGAUUCAUUGGGUUUAAAGGGUGCGUAGGCGGAGCGUUAAGUAAGUGGUGAAAUCCUGCAGCUUAACUGUAGACUUGCAAUUGAUACUGGCGCUCUUGAGUGCGCUUGAAGUGGGCGGAAUGUGCCGUGUAGCGGUGAAAUGCUUAGAUAUGGCACAGAACACCAAUUGCGAAGGCAGCUCACUAAGGCGAUACUGACGCUGAGGCACGAAAGCGUGGGGAUCGAACAGGAUUAGAAACCCGAGUAGUCC
Molecule: ribosomal RNA, 445 nt
Filed under: uncultured bacterium
Lineage: Bacteria
Description: partial 16S ribosomal RNA
Rfam family: Bacterial small subunit ribosomal RNA
Source: RNAcentral